Molecule: ribosomal RNA, 292 nt
Filed under: uncultured bacterium
Lineage: Bacteria
Description: partial 16S ribosomal RNA
Rfam family: Bacterial small subunit ribosomal RNA
Source: RNAcentral
GGAUUAGAUACCCUGGUAGUCCACGCCGUAAACGUUGGGCGCUAGGUGUGGGGCCCUUUCCACGGGUUCCGCGCCGCCGCUAACGCAUUAAGCGCCCCGCCUGGGGAGUACGGCCGCAAGGCUAAAACUCAAAGGAAUUGACGGGGGCCCGCACAAGCGGCGGAGCAUGCGGAUUAAUUCGAUGCAACGCGAAGAACCUUACCAAGGCUUGACAUAUACCGAAAACUGUUGGAGACAGCAGGUCCGCAAGGGCGGUAUACAGGUGGUGCAUGGUUGUCGUCAGCUCGUGCCG